AUAUUUAAGGGGACAAACACGGACUUAUUUAAGUGAUGCACCAAACUCAUGCAGGGAAGACGCCACACAAACACGGCGCUGAGAAAGAAUUGGGUGAGUAGGAUAGGAUAGUGGGGGGUUUCGGGUGAUAGUGUGCAGGUGUUUUAAGUGUGUGUGUGUUUGUAGACGUCGAGCGCUCCCGGGAACCCCGGUAACCAGAGCGGCCGGAGCAUGAAAGUAUGGGUUUAAAGAUUGCCUCGGUUUUGAUUUAAUUUGUCCUAUAAUUUUUUGGAUUGAUUUGAUUAUGUAGAGUGGAUUUAUUUUGAGUUUUCUUUGGUUUUCUUCCUUUAAAGAAGUUAUGUUGUUUGCUUUUCCUGAAGUGGAUGGAUUUUAAAACCUGAUCUUAGAGUUUUUUGAUAAUAAAAGAAGUAUCUAUAAAAAUGUUCUAGUACGUUGUGGUCUGUCUAAGCACCCACGUAACAUG
This is a non-coding RNA of Pimephales promelas (fathead minnow), 463 nucleotides long. The record is from RefSeq and is a predicted model, not a curated record. NCBI's taxonomy places the organism in Eukaryota, Metazoa, Chordata, Actinopteri, Cypriniformes, Leuciscidae.